This 73-nucleotide transfer RNA is filed under the name Catenulispora sp. It matches the Rfam family "tRNA". From Rfam's summary of the family: Transfer RNA (tRNA) molecules are approximately 80 nucleotides in length. Their secondary structure includes four short double-helical elements and three loops (D, anti-codon, and T loops). Further hydrogen bonds mediate the characteristic L-shaped molecular structure. tRNAs have two regions of fundamental functional importance: the anti-codon, which is responsible for specific mRNA codon recognition, and the 3' end, to which the tRNAs corresponding amino acid is attached (by aminoacyl-tRNA synthetases). tRNAs cope with the degeneracy of the genetic code in two manners: having more than one tRNA (with a specific anti-codon) for a particular amino acid; and 'wobble' base-pairing, i.e. permitting non-standard base-pairing at the 3rd anti-codon position. The record is from Rfam by way of RNAcentral. Lineage: Bacteria; Bacillati; Actinomycetota; Actinomycetes; Catenulisporales; Catenulisporaceae.
CCGGGUGUAGUGCAGCGGCAGUCACGUUGCCCUUUCAAGGCAGAAGACGUCGGUUCGAAUCCGGCCGCCCGGG